RNAcentral lists this long non-coding RNA (842 nucleotides) under Monodelphis domestica (gray short-tailed opossum). RNAcentral's name for it is "lncRNA (ENSMODG00000032608.2)". Lineage: Eukaryota; Metazoa; Chordata; Mammalia; Didelphimorphia; Didelphidae. The record is from RNAcentral.
CUGGGAGUGGCAGUUGGGUCUUGUGACUAGCACUUCCUUCCUGCUGGGUGUGGCAGUGGGGUCUUCUGACUAGCACUUCCUUCCUGCCAUGGGGACUUGCUGGCUGGUGUUGGAGGAGAGAGGAGCUUCUUCAGCCGAGUCUGGUGUGGUGUGCCUCUUCUUGAUUCAGCCCGAAGACACAGGCUUCUGAAGGGAAGAUAGCUUAGCACCCUCCUGCACUUGAAAAAGAGAAUUUGGUUCAAUGAGUUCUGUAGGAGAGGUGUUCUGAGUACCCGAAGAGCCCUGAGAAUUUUAUCAUCAUCAUCAUCAUCAUCAUCAUCAUCAUCAUCAUCAUCAUCAUCAUCAUCAUCAUCAUCAUCUCCAGAAUGCUGCCUUCCUUACAAUUUUACUUCUUUGAUGAUGGCAGAGCCAGCACUGGCCAAAGGUAGAUCUGGAACAGAAAGCAGCCUGGGAGAACAAGUGAUAAAGAGAAGAAUGAUCCAAUCCUCAUCUGUUUCUCAAACUGGUGUGCACAGCACUUUUGUAGGACUUCACCAGAUCUCUCCUGGAAGGACCUGACGUUGAGGUUUAGAAAGGCUUUCUCCUGAGACCAACAGAAGGAAAGAAAUCAUUUGGAUCUGGCUGCUGGCAGCUUGGAAUCAAGAAGAUUGAAGAUAGACUGACCAACUGAAGAUCCUGGCCGAAUUGAUUGGACUCCUGGUGUGAGAAUUGGCUAUUGGGGAAUUUACUGCUUAGAUUAAUAGGUGUAGAUAGUUUAUAGAUAUUAGAUGUUAGAUAACUAGUAUAAGUUUCCUCCUAAACCCUUGUUUCUUCCUCCCCUUCCCAACCAAUAAAUCUUAAUU